This 69-nucleotide transfer RNA is filed under the name Ictidomys tridecemlineatus (thirteen-lined ground squirrel). Its description in RNAcentral is "Spermophilus tridecemlineatus (thirteen-lined ground squirrel) tRNA". It matches the Rfam family "tRNA". From Rfam's summary of the family: Transfer RNA (tRNA) molecules are approximately 80 nucleotides in length. Their secondary structure includes four short double-helical elements and three loops (D, anti-codon, and T loops). Further hydrogen bonds mediate the characteristic L-shaped molecular structure. tRNAs have two regions of fundamental functional importance: the anti-codon, which is responsible for specific mRNA codon recognition, and the 3' end, to which the tRNAs corresponding amino acid is attached (by aminoacyl-tRNA synthetases). tRNAs cope with the degeneracy of the genetic code in two manners: having more than one tRNA (with a specific anti-codon) for a particular amino acid; and 'wobble' base-pairing, i.e. permitting non-standard base-pairing at the 3rd anti-codon position. The record is from Rfam by way of RNAcentral. Lineage: Eukaryota; Metazoa; Chordata; Mammalia; Rodentia; Sciuridae.
GGGGCUGUAGCUCAGUGGUAGAGCACCCACUUCACAUGUGUGAGGCACUGGAUUCAAUCCUCAGCACCA